AGUUUGAUCCUGGCUCAGAUUGAACGCUGGCGGCAUGCUUUACACAUGCAAGUCGAACGGUAACAGGGAGCUUGCUCCGCUGACGAGUGGCGAACGGGUGAGUAAUAUAUCGGAACGUACCCAGAAGUGGGGGAUAACGUAGCGAAAGUUACGCUAAUACCGCAUACGAUCUACGGAUGAAAGUGGGGGACCUUCGGGCCUCAUGCUUUUGGAGCGGCCGAUAUCUGAUUAGCUAGUUGGUGAGGUAAAGGCUCACCAAGGCGACGAUCAGUAGCUGGUCUGAGAGGACGACCAGCCACACUGGAACUGAGACACGGUCCAGACUCCUACGGGAGGCAGCAGUGGGGAAUUUUGGACAAUGGGCGCAAGCCUGAUCCAGCAAUGCCGCGUGAGUGAAGAAGGCCUUCGGGUUGUAAAGCUCUUUUGUCAGGGAAGAAACGGCUGUGGCUAAUAUCCACGGCUAAUGACGGUACCUGAAGAAUAAGCACCGGCUAACUACGUGCCAGCAGCCGCGGUAA
Molecule: ribosomal RNA, 518 nt
Filed under: uncultured bacterium
Lineage: Bacteria
Description: bacterial SSU rRNA
Rfam family: Bacterial small subunit ribosomal RNA
Source: RNAcentral